AAAGCGUGCGCAGGCGGUUCGGAAAGAAGGAUGUGAAAUCCCAGGGCUUAACCUUGGAACUGCAUUCUUAACUACCGGGCUAGAGUAUGUCAGAGGGAGGUGGAAUUCCGCGUGUAGCAGUGAAAUGCGUAGAUAUGCGGAGGAACACCGAUGGCGAAGGCAGCCUCCUGGGAUAAUACUGACGCUCAUGCACGAAAGCGUGGGGAGCAAACAGGAUUAGAUACCCCAGU
RNAcentral lists this ribosomal RNA (230 nucleotides) under uncultured bacterium. RNAcentral describes it as "partial 16S ribosomal RNA". It matches the Rfam family "Bacterial small subunit ribosomal RNA", at positions 562 to 791 of the family's 1533-position model. The record is from RNAcentral.